CAUGAACGAGCAGGGAAAGCUCCCAUGGAGCCAAAACCCUAAACUUCAUGAAAAUCUCCAAAUUGAAAGGCUAAACGAAGCCCAAAUUCACAACCGAACAUGAAUUAACGAUCACCUUCACAAGGGGAUCAUAAGGAAUCAUGUCAAAAUGGAUGGGAGCGUUGAAGGCUAACGGGCUACGAAGACUCAAUCAAAUAAGCGAACGCAAAUACGGGUGCGCAAGGCUGUACAGGGUUAUAGAUAUUUCGUCAAGAAGCGUACGCGAUCGAAGAUCGAGUCAAGUCGUGGAUUGUACGUGGGUGUGGAUGUAGUCACUUAAUUUGAAAUAUGUAUGUUAGUUUUCAUUAAUUUAUAAAAAGAGAAUAAUGUAUUUAAGCGAAAUGAAGAGAAUCAUGAAAGAAAUUUUACAUAUGUAUUUUCCGCUGCGAAUCUUAGGUUAAAAUGUGUU
Long non-coding RNA from Helianthus annuus (common sunflower), 448 nucleotides. RefSeq lists it as uncharacterized. The record is from RefSeq and is a predicted model, not a curated record. The transcript is spliced from 3 exons. NCBI's taxonomy places the organism in Eukaryota, Viridiplantae, Streptophyta, Magnoliopsida, Asterales, Asteraceae.